Molecule: ribosomal RNA, 1344 nt
Filed under: uncultured bacterium
Lineage: Bacteria
Description: bacterial SSU rRNA
Rfam family: Bacterial small subunit ribosomal RNA
Source: RNAcentral
GAUGAACGCUGGCGGCGUGCUUAACACAUGCAAGUCGAACGAUGAAGCUCCAGCUUGCUGGAGUGGAUUAGUGGCGAACGGGUGAGUAACACGUGAGUAACCUGCCCUUGACUCUGGGAUAAGCCUUGGAAACGAGGUCUAGUACCGGAUAGGAGCACUCAUCGCAUGGUGGGUGUUGGAAAGAAUUUCGGUCAUGGAUGGACUCGCGGCCUAUCAGCUUGUUGGUGAGGUAAUGGCUCACCAAGGCGACGACGGGUAGCCGGCCUGAGAGGGUGACCGGCCACACUGGGACUGAGACACGGCCCAGACUCCUACGGGAGGCAGCAGUGGGGAAUAUUGCACAAUGGGCGAAAGCCUGAUGCAGCGACGCCGCGUGAGGGAUGACGGCCUUCGGGUUGUAAACCUCUUUCAGUAGGGAAGAAGCGAAAGUGACGGUACCUGCAGAAGAAGCACCGGCUAACUACGUGCCAGCAGCCGCGGUAAUACGUAGGGUGCGAGCGUUAUCCGGAAUUAUUGGGCGUAAAGAGCUCGUAAGCGGUUUGUCGCGUCUGCCGUGAAAGUCCGGGGCUUAACUCCGGAUCUGCGGUGGGUACGGGCAGACUAGAGUGCAGUAGGGGAGACUGGAAUUCCUGGUGUAGCGGUGGAAUGCGCAGAUAUCAGGAGGAACACCGAUGGCGAAGGCAGGUCUCUGGGCUGUAACUGACGCUGAGGAGCGAAAGCAUGGGGAGCGAACAGGAUUAGAUACCCUGGUAGUCCAUGCCGUAAACGUUGGGCACUAGGUGUGGGGACCAUUCCACGGUUUCCGCGCCGCAGCUAACGCAUUAAGUGCCCCGCCUGGGGAGUACGGCCGCAAGGCUAAAACUCAAAGGAAUUGACGGGGGCCCGCACAAGCGGCGGAGCAUGCGGAUUAAUUCGAUGCAACGCGAAGAACCUUACCAAGGCUUGACAUGUUCUCGAUCGCCGUAGAGAUACGGUUUCCCCUUUGGGGCGGGUUCACAGGUGGUGCAUGGUUGUCGUCAGCUCGUGUCGUGAGAUGUUGGGUUAAGUCCCGCAACGAGCGCAACCCCUGUUCUAUGUUGCCAGCACGUGAUGGUGGGGACUCAUGGGAGACUGCCGGGGUCAACUCGGAGGAAGGUGGGGACGACGUCAAAUCAUCAUGCCCCUUAUGUCUUGGGCUUCACGCAUGCUACAAUGGCCGGUACAAUGGGUUGCGAUACUGUGAGGUGGAGCUAAUCCCAAAAAGCUGGUCUCAGUUCGGAUUGGGGUCUGCAACUCGACCCCAUGAAGUUGGAGUCGCUAGUAAUCGCAGAUCAGCAACGCUGCGGUGAAUACGUUCCCGGGCCU